RNAcentral lists this ribosomal RNA (1048 nucleotides) under Enterobacter cloacae subsp. dissolvens. RNAcentral describes it as "bacterial SSU rRNA". It matches the Rfam family "Bacterial small subunit ribosomal RNA", at positions 434 to 1476 of the family's 1533-position model. Lineage: Bacteria; Pseudomonadati; Pseudomonadota; Gammaproteobacteria; Enterobacterales; Enterobacteriaceae. The record is from RNAcentral.
ACUCAGCGGGGAGGAAAGUGUUGAGUAUAAUCCUCAUGCGAAUGUCGUGACCGCAGAAGAAGCACUGGCUAACUCGUGUCAGCAGCCGCGGUAAUACGAGGGGUGCAAGCGUUAAUCUGAAUUACUGGGCGUAAAGCGCACGCAGGGCGGUCUGUCAAGUCUGAUGUGAAAUCUCCCGCGCUCAACCUGGGAACUGCAUUCGAAACUGGCAGGCUAGAGUCUUGUAGAGGGGGGUAGAAUUCCAGGUGUAGCGGUGAAAUGCGUAGAGAUCUGGAGGAAUACCGGUGGCGAAGGCGGCCCCCUGGACAAAGACUGACGCUCAGGUGCGAAAGCGUGGGGAGCAAACAGGAUUAGAUACCCUGGUAGUCCACGCCGUAAACGAUGUCGACUUGGAGGUUGUGCCCUUGAGGCGUGGCUUCCGGAGCUAACGCGUUAAGUCGACCGCCUGGGGAGUACGGCCGCAAGGUUAAAACUCAAAUGAAUUGACGGGGGCCCGCACAAGCGGUGGAGCAUGUGGUUUAAUUUGAUGCAACGCGAAGAACCUUACCUACUCUUGACAUCCAGAGAACUUUCCAGAGAUGGAUUGGUGCCUUCGGGAACUCUGAGACAGGUGCUGCAUGGCUGUCGUCAGCUCGUGUUGUGAAAUGUUGGGUUAAGUCCCGCAACGAGCGCAACCCUUAUCCUUUGUUUCCAGCGGUCCGGCCGGGAACUCAAAGGAGACUGCCAGUGAUAAACUGGAGGAAGGGGGGGAGGACGUCAAGUCAUCAUGGCCCUUACGAGUAGGGCUACACACGUGUUACAAUGGCGCAUACAAAGAGAAGAGACCUCGCGAGAGCAAGCGGACCUCAUAAAAUGCGUCGUAGUCCGGAUUGGAGUUUGCAACUCGACUCCAUGAAGUGGGAAUCGCUAGUAAUCGUAGAUCAGAAUGCUACGGUGAAUACGUUUCCGGGCCUUGUACACACCGCCCGUCACACCACGGGAGUGGGUUCUUUAAGAAGAAGGUAGCUCAACCUGUGGAGCGCACUUUCCGGAGUAGUUUUCUGCGUCA